AUUUCUUGACGCGGGCUUAUAAAAAUGCGAUCGUCGUCUCCUUCAUUCUUUCUCGUUCAAAAAUCAAAGAGGCCAAGCGGCUUUGGUCGACAACAGACUGUCUCGAUACGGAUACCAUUCGGAGCAGAAGCGAAGAAACUACCAUUGGUUGUUUGGCACCGGAGAUCAGAGAUCGAGGUUGAAAUUCUGGCAUACAAGAAGCUGUCUUAGAGAUAGGAAAAGAAACGGAAAGCACAUAUGCACGGUUUUUACAACAACAACAACGUUAAAGUAACGGGGAGUGGUGGCCGUUCGUCGAUCAGUCCACAGAGCGAUGACCAGCUUAUACUCGGCAGAAGAGGCCGUUAUGGAUUUACCAGCUCUGCUUUUGAUCCGCAAAUUCACAAUCCCCUCGAUGUGGACUCCACACUGAUCCGGUACUCCCGUGCCACAGGUGCAUCCCUUUCACCCUCCGCCGACGUUUUUCCAUCUCAGAUCAUCGAUUCCACCAAGUUUCACCCGCUUCUCCUCCAUCGCUCCAACAUAUCGCCUCGUGGCUCUUCGCCAUCCCCUCUGUCGUCGAUAGAGAACCUGGAGACCCCGCCGUCGAAGUCGCCGCCGGUGUUCGCCACGCCGGUUAAAGUUGAAGAGGACGUGCUAGUGAUGGACGGGAUUCUGGUCGGUUCAGUGCCGGGUGGACGUACGAGGUCGGGGCCAGAUUCCGGCUCCUCGUCAUCGGGGAACAGCCUCUAUAAGACGGAGAUCUGUCGAGCGUGGGAGGAUACCGGUAAUUGCCGCUACGGCUCCAAAUGCCAGGUACUGUUUUCCGGCUCCUAAUUCUUAAACAGUCCACGGUGAAGUUAGCCCCUUAGAAUGAUUCAACUCUGACUAAAAAGUCUACCAAUCGGACGGCUUAGACAGUCUUAGUCCACCUAUGCAGAAAACCACCACAGAGUGAAAGGAAUUGCACAAAGUGCAGCGGAUUACGACUCGUCGAUUGGAUGAAUGGAUGGACCGCAACUGUCACUGGUGCUGUUUAAGGUGUCUGAACUGAAUAACUUAUUGCCUUUUCAAGCACGCAGUUCAGCCGCUCCGUGGUGGACUGAUAGGCCAUAGCAAUCUCCGGCAUCUGCUGCGUUAAAAGAUUGACUGAGAGAGGAUCCGAUCCACGAUAAGAAUGUGGUGGAAAUGGAAUAUCACAGGCCAUUGGAAAUUUGGAUAUAGACAUAAUCCAAAUUGAACGGUUUUGAAGCAGUUUGCGCAUGGAAAAGAAGAGCUGCGUCCUACUCGUGUCUCUAGCAAGAACAAGUCCGAGGGACAGCUCUGCAAGUCGUUUGCUACAGGGACCUGCGCAUACGGCAGUAAGUGCCGCUUCAUUCAUCACAUGGCCGUGUCAUCACCGUCGAGAACAGCGACAUCGGCCGGAGCCACAACAAUGAUCAAGCCGGAACAAGACGACUGGUCCCCGGCGGACGAUGGCAUUGAGGUUCGGUUGCCUUCUUCGACAGAGCAUUGUCCAACAAGAGAAGAUGUUAAUUUGUACAUACAUGACGUCCUAUAUGGCCCCUCUCGAAGAAAGAGACUGCCGGUGUUCGCUGAAAUCUGCCCUAACUAGAAGACAUAUUAUAUCCCAAUUUCAUUAACAUCACCUUUUCUAUUUCCAGGCGCUGAGAUUUUUGUUUUGCUUCAGAGUCCUGCUACUGAUUACGAAAAGAUUUUUUGUUUUGGCAAUUACUCCUUUCCCUUUA
Non-coding RNA from Nelumbo nucifera (sacred lotus), 1727 nucleotides. The record is from RefSeq and is a predicted model, not a curated record. Lineage: Eukaryota; Viridiplantae; Streptophyta; Magnoliopsida; Proteales; Nelumbonaceae.